UACGAGAUAAAAUCAUUUUCGAGAUUACUUAAAUAAUUACCAAUUAAGCUGAGCCGAUUAUGAGCGAGCCACGCUAAAUAAUACAUUCCAUUUUUUCGAUAAUUUAUCAAACGGAGAUUAAAAUCGCUGAAGCAAAAUGGCGGCGUCCACAAAAUGGCCGCUGAAUAAUUAGCGAGUAAACAUUGGUUGAGAUAUCGUUUAAGUGGAUUUAAUUUCGUAAAAAUCGAGACGUAUGUAAUUAAAAAAAAAAAUUGUGGCAAUGACGUAAAGAAAAAAAAAACAAGAAUUAGAUCAUUUUUUUUUUAGGUUAUUUUAAUUCAAAAAUAUAUAGUUACCAUUAAAGCAAUAUCUUUUUGUUUUCUCACAUUCAGAUAAAAACCAAAUGUAAAAGAAAAAGUCUGCCCGAGACAAAUUUCUUUAGCGUUUCACGGCGCACGCUAAUGUUAUGAGCUAUGUAUUAUCAAUAAAAAAUCUAUCACACUUUAUCUCACUGUAAUAAAGGCGAUUUUCGAAUGAGAGAUGCGUAAAGAAUCCUUUCCGCACGCAAAAAAUAAACUUGCUUAGUAUUUUUUUUUUUUCAAAUUUAAUUGCGCGGAAUUGUACCAUACAUGUCUCGAUCUUCGCCCGCAAAAUUACGUUCUCGUUCAGAACAUUCUAAAAUAAACCUUACUCUCAUGUAUUAAGGUGCAUCAGUUUUAAUUUUAGAUAUAUUACAAAUUUGUUCUGUCAAAUUGUUAUUUAUUUUAUACUAACUUGAUAAUUGGUCCUCAGUAGAAGCGAUUCUUAGUUAUAAUAGCGAUUUUAUUUUGAAUCUUAUUUGUAUUGUAAUAAAGGUGAUUAUGUUAUCGAUUUUAUAAUUAUUUCAGCUUGUUUUGAAGGUUUAUGAGGUGAGAGGAAAUUUAAAUAAGGGCUGAUAUCUGUACAGAUCUUGACGAAGGCUUCGAUAGCAGAAUACAAAUGUCACUGUGUUUGACAAUCAGUGACACACACACAUUGAAGAUGCUCCACGUAUUGAUGUAUUAUAUAUAUGUGUCUGUGUGCGUGUGUGAGUUAUGGUAGUGUGUGCAAUAUAUUUGUAAUACAUUUUAUAUGAAAUCA
Long non-coding RNA from Danaus plexippus (monarch butterfly), 1098 nucleotides. RefSeq lists it as uncharacterized. Lineage: Eukaryota; Metazoa; Arthropoda; Insecta; Lepidoptera; Nymphalidae. The transcript has 2 exons. The record is from RefSeq and is a predicted model, not a curated record.